CAGCAGCCGCGGUAAAACGAAGGGUGCAAGCGUUAAUCGGAAUUACUGGGCGUAAAGCGUGCGCAGGCGGUUAUAUAAGACAGAUGUGAAAUCCCCGGGCUCAACCUGGGACCUGCAUUUGUGACUGUAUAGCUAGAGUACGGUAGAGGGGGAUGGAAUUCCGCGUGUAGCAGUGAAAUGCGUAGAUAUGCGGAGGAACACCGAUGGCGAAGGCAAUCCCCUGGACCUGUACUGACGCUCAUGCACGAAAGCGUGGGGAGCAAACAGGAUUAGAUACCCGCGUAGUCCCUGUCUCUUAUAC
This 301-nucleotide ribosomal RNA is filed under the name uncultured bacterium. Its description in RNAcentral is "partial 16S ribosomal RNA". It matches the Rfam family "Bacterial small subunit ribosomal RNA", at positions 509 to 807 of the family's 1533-position model. The record is from RNAcentral.